This 277-nucleotide ribosomal RNA is filed under the name uncultured bacterium. Its description in RNAcentral is "partial 16S ribosomal RNA". It matches the Rfam family "Bacterial small subunit ribosomal RNA", at positions 28 to 298 of the family's 1533-position model. The record is from RNAcentral.
GACGAACGCUGGCGGCGUGCUUAACACAUGCAAGUCGAGCGAGAAAGCUCCUUCGGGAGUGAGUACAGCGGCGAACGGGUGAGUAACACGUGGGUAACCUGCCCCAAGGAGCGGGACAACCCGGGGAAACCCGGGCUAAUACCGCAUGUUCCACCUCGCCUCAAGGCGAGAUGGCAAAUGGUAGCUUCGGCCUCCGCCUUGGGAUGGGCCCGCGGCGCAUUAGCUUGUUGGUGGGGUAACGGCCUACCAAGGCGACGAUGCGUAGCUGGUCUGAGAG